UACGUAGGGGGCAAGCGUUGUCCGGAAUUAUUGGGCGUAAAGAGCGUGUAGGCGGUCCGGCAAGUCAGCUGUGAAAGUCAAGGGCUCAACCCUUGAAUGCCGGUUGAUACUGUCGGGCUAGAGUCCGGAAGAGGCGAGUGGAAUUCCCGGUGUAGCGGUGAAAUGCGCAGAUAUCGGGAGGAACACCAAUGGCGAAGGCAGCUCGCUGGGACGGUACUGACGUUGAGACGCGAAAGCGUGGGGAGCAAACAGG
RNAcentral lists this ribosomal RNA (253 nucleotides) under uncultured bacterium. RNAcentral describes it as "partial 16S ribosomal RNA". It matches the Rfam family "Bacterial small subunit ribosomal RNA", at positions 524 to 776 of the family's 1533-position model. The record is from RNAcentral.